This 404-nucleotide ribosomal RNA is filed under the name Actinomycetes bacterium. RNAcentral's name for it is "Actinobacteria bacterium partial 16S ribosomal RNA". It matches the Rfam family "Bacterial small subunit ribosomal RNA", at positions 355 to 776 of the family's 1533-position model. Lineage: Bacteria; Bacillati; Actinomycetota; Actinomycetes. The record is from RNAcentral.
UGGGGAAUAUUGGACAAUGGGCGCAAGCCUGAUCCAGCCAUGCCGCGUGAGUGAUGAAGGCCCUAGGGUUGUAAAGCUCUUUCACCGGUGAAGAUAAUGACGGUAACCGGAGAAGAAGCCCCGGCUAACUUCGUGCCAGCAGCCGCGGUAAUACGAAGGGGGCUAGCGUUGUUCGGAUUUACUGGGCGUAAAGCGCACGUAGGCGGACUAUUAAGUCAGGGGUGAAAUCCCGGGGCUCAACCCCGGAACUGCCUUUGAUACUGGUAGUCUUGAGUUCGGGAGAGGUGAGUGGAAUUCCGAGUGUAGAGGUGAAGUUCGUAGAUAUUCGGAGGAACACCAGUGGCGAAGGCGGCUCACUGGCUCGAUACUGACGCUGAGGUGCGAAAGCGUGGGGAGCAAACAGG